Molecule: ribosomal RNA, 388 nt
Filed under: uncultured bacterium
Lineage: Bacteria
Description: bacterial SSU rRNA
Rfam family: Bacterial small subunit ribosomal RNA
Source: RNAcentral
GACGAACGCUGGCGGCGUGCUUAACACAUGCAAGUCGAGCGGUAAGGCCCUUUCGGGGGUACACGAGCGGCGAACGGGUGAGUAACACGUGGGUGACCUGCCCUCAGCUCUGGGAUAAGCCUAGGAAACCGGGUCUAAUACCGGAUAUGACUCCAUGACGCAUGUUGUGGGGUGGAAAGCCUUGUGCGGCUGAGGAUGGGCCCGCGGCCUAUCAGCUUGUUGGUGGGGUGAUGGCCUACCAAGGCGACGACGGGUAGCCGGCCUGAGAGGGCGACCGGCCACACUGGGACUGAGACACGGCCCAGACUCCUACGGGAGGCAGCAGUGGGGAAUCUUGCGCAAUGGGCGAAAGCCUGACGCAGCGACGCCGCGUGAGGGAUGACGGCCU